Molecule: ribosomal RNA, 460 nt
Filed under: uncultured bacterium
Lineage: Bacteria
Description: partial 16S ribosomal RNA
Rfam family: Bacterial small subunit ribosomal RNA
Source: RNAcentral
CCUACGGGAGGCAGCAGUGAGGAAUAUUGGUCAAUGGACGAGAGUCUGAACCAGCCAAGUAGCGUGAAGGAUGACUGCCCUAUGGGUUGUAAACUUCUUUUAUAUGGGAAUAAAAUGUUCCACGUGUGGGAUUUUGUAUGUACCAUAUGAAUAAGGAUCGGCUAACUCCGUGCCAGCAGCCGCGGUAAUACGGAGGAUCCGAGCGUUAUCCGGAUUUAUUGGGUUUAAAGGGAGCGUAGGUGGAUUGUUAAGUCAGUUGUGAAAGUUUGCGGCUCAACCGUAAAAUUGCAGUUGAAACUGGCAGUCGUGAGUACAGUAGAGGUGGGCGGAAUUCGUGGUGUAGCGGUGAAAUGCAUAGAUAUCACGCAGAACGCCGAUUGCGAAGGCAGCAUACCGGCGCCCAACUGACGCUGAGGCACGGAAGCGUGGGGAUCGAACAGGAUUAGAUACCCUAGUAGUC